AAGUCGUAACAAGGUCUCCGUAGGUGAACCUGCGGAGGGAUCAUUAACACGAAAAUCCAUCGUCCUACACCCGCGAAAUGUUCUGUCCCAGAUCUUCGACCAAAUGAAAGCCGCUGAGGUUUAAUCGGCUGCCGUUAACCGGAUAACUUACAACUUCUGGUUCGGUGCCUUGGCGGCCUGCAUAUUAUGUCUCCACUAGGGACUGUAUGAAAGGUUUCGGAUCUGUCGCUGCCGUGUCUCACAACUUAACCCUAACUGAGCGUGCUAAAAUUCCGACUCGUGCAGCCAGGUGGUAACUCCCCUGAGAAACGAAGGAAGUAAAAAAACAAAACACAAUGUACAACUCUUAACAACGGAUGUCUUGGUUCUC
Molecule: unclassified non-coding RNA, 370 nt
Filed under: fungal sp.
Lineage: Eukaryota; Fungi
Description: partial internal transcribed spacer region
Rfam family: Eukaryotic small subunit ribosomal RNA (bases 1-46)
Source: RNAcentral